AGCAGCCGCGGUAAUUCCAGCUCCAAUAGCGUAUAUUAAAGUUGUUGCAGUUAAAAAGCUCGUAGUUGAAUUUCGGGAUCAAUAUGUUGGUCGUGCCUCGGUACGUACUAGCAUAUUGGUUUCUCCUUUCUGAAGAACCAUGAUGUCAUUUAUUUGGUGUCGUGGGGAAUCAGGACUGUUACUUUGAAAAAAUUAGAGUGUUUAAAGCAGGCUCACGCUUGAAUACAUUAGCAUGGAAUAAUGAAAUAGGACGUUUGAUUCUAUUUUGUUGGUUUCUAGGAUCGACGUAAUGAUUAAUAGGGAUAGUUGGGGGCAUUAGUAUUCAAUUGUCAGAGGUGAAAUUCUUGGAUUUAUUGAAGACUAACUACUGCGAAAGCAUUUGCCAAGGAUGUUUUCAUUAAUCAAGAACGAAAGUUAGGGGAUCGAAGACGAUCAGAUACCGUCGUAGUCUUAACCAUAAACUAUGCCGACUAGGGAUCGGAUGAUGUUAAUUUUUAAUGUACUCAUUCGGC
This 512-nucleotide ribosomal RNA is filed under the name uncultured Glomus. RNAcentral's name for it is "SSU rRNA". It matches the Rfam family "Eukaryotic small subunit ribosomal RNA", at positions 569 to 1084 of the family's 1831-position model. The record is from RNAcentral. Lineage: Eukaryota; Fungi; Glomeromycota; Glomeromycetes; Glomerales; Glomeraceae.